This is a non-coding RNA of Vicugna pacos (alpaca), 8583 nucleotides long. Lineage: Eukaryota; Metazoa; Chordata; Mammalia; Artiodactyla; Camelidae. The record is from RefSeq and is a predicted model, not a curated record.
AAUCCCCAGUACCUCCAAAAAAAUAAAUAAAUAAAAACCUAAUUACUCCUCCUAAAAAUAAAUAAAAAUUUAAAAAUAUCUUUUACUGAUUUUGGCAAGUAGUCAGUUCCAAGUUUCUGGUCCAUCAUGAAAUUUUCAGAUACAUAUUACUCAGUUUGUAAAUCAUUGCCAGAUUCUGUUUUGCUCAUUCCCUUGGGACUGGUCAUACAUGUAACAAUGCUCAGUAUUUGAAUUUUCUUAGGUAAAGCAAUGCAUGUUGUUUUUCUGUCUUGAAAUUUUAUCAGUCUUAUGCAAUGCAUUUUUGCCCACAUAGUUGAUGACUCUGAAAGGAAGAGAGAAUUUGAUCACUGGAUUUUCUGAAAUGUCAGUGUGGAUUCUACCAGUAGUGUUGCCAGGAGGCGGAAAAUCGUAUUAGCUGCAAUUAAGACAAACUACUCAAGGUAAAAGUAAAACCUUGUAAGAAAAAGAAAAUAUAGUGUAUUGCAGAGGCCUUGGCUAGGUUUAUGAUGACACAGGACCUUGUCUGAACAUGCUGAUUUCAAAGUUGGAGCUUGAAAUGACACUGAAAUCCAGUCAAUGUGCCUCACUAGACUUUGCAGAGAACAUUCUUGACUGAAAAUGUUGGCUUGACCUGUGAAAACUGAGUAGUUACAAAUGGCAGGUGUAGUAGUACACUUUGCCAGUUCCUCCAGUUUUCUUUGUUUUUUUCCAUAGAUCGUGUGAGCUAAUUCUUCUUUCUUUCUGUUUUACUCUUUCUCUCUAUAUAAAUAUGUGUGUGUGUGUGUGUGUGUGCACUCACACACACACUGUUCAACCCCACAACGGAAGCUCUGGCUUGGAUCUCAGAAGGCACACACAUGGUGAGAUGGAAACAAGGACGUGUGUGAAGGGGACUGCCACAUCUUGGAUCAAACGUUGAGUGACACAGUUGUAGGUGUCUGAGUGAUGUCCAGAAAGAAUGGGAACGUACUUUAUGAAGCACAGUGAGUGUGCUUCAGAGUCUCGAAUUCAUCUGUCUACCAGAGCAGUCUUUGGGAAAGAUGACCAACCAGCAUCACGUUCUCCAUAAAUCUACAGUUGACGUGUUUUUAACGUGUUAGAAAUAAGCAAUAAUCAGAGAAGAGGACAAAGAUGAUACAAACUGUUGAUACUCAGAGCAUCUUUUGCUGCUGUCAGAAUUGGAAAUUUAGUCACUGCACUUGUGGAUUCAUAAAUUUCAGACAUUUCUUUACCCUUUUGAUCUGUAAGAAUCUCAAGAAAUUUGCACAGCAAGAUACAAUGUGACACAAUGCAGGACAAUUUAGGGUAGUUUUGCAAACCUUUUUUUCUAUUAACAUAGAUACACAGAUUUUUCUGGAAUAUCCUGAGCAGUUUUGCUCAUGGACUGCCAUGGAAGUGUCCACUUCAUGCCAGUUUAAUGGGUCUUUGGCCAAGGCUCUCAUGUAGAGACAAUCUUUAGAUCUUUUACUCAGAAUUCAUUCACACCUGGUCCAACAGCAUCUCAUUCCAGAUUUCUCCCCCAAAUGGAAGUGUGCGAAGGGUAUCUAAUGAAUUGAAAAAUUACUUCAGCUGGAUAAAGCUUGAAGUAUUGGGCUAGUGUGGACGAGUUCAAGUAAACAUGAGCCCAACCGUACAGGAAUGUGUGGAUAGAAAGGGAAGGAAAACACAUCUUGAAUUCAGCUAGAAGCUUCAUCAGCUACAGAAUUACAAACAAAAUACAGAUUUAUACUGGCCUAAACUUCUUGGCUUUCAAAUGUUUACAUUUCAUUGGCAAUCUUUGAAUUUUGGAGGAAAAACAUAAUUUCUUUGCUGUGGAAUAUCAACUGGUCUUCAAAAGAUUUACCAGUAAAAGCCCUAUAUGUAUGGUAUUUGUAUGCAUAUGUGAUAAAACAGAUUUUAUCCUCCCUUGAACAUUUUAAAACAACUCAGAAUCUAAUCCUAUUAACUAAUUUACUGGACAUAUGUAGCUUACACAUUUAUUUAAAUACAUAGGAAAAUUGUGUUUGGGUAGUGGUACUGAAAUGUAAAUGUAAAAUACUCAGUGAAUGAUAAAUAUGCGUGAACUAUUCAUUGGAUGUUAGGCGAUGAAGAGAAUGAAAUUCAACAUGUAAUAGUUUUAUUGUUUUGUAUUCUUUGCUUAAUGUUUUGGAAUCUACCACUCAAGUAAAGAAGCCUAGGUUUAUUUUUUAAAAAAUACUAUUUUUAGAUACUGUUAAAGAUGAGUGUUGUGAUAAUAGAGCUGAUUUCCUAAAGAAGUUUCUAAAAGUAUGUUUGGGAAAGUUGUCUUCUGGGAAAGACUUAGAAAGGAAUUCUGAGGACAGAGGAGACAUUUUGUAAGCUUUACACAAUUCGGUAUUGUCUACAAAUAGCAGAAAAGAGAUGGACACAGAAUGUUUAAAACAUCGAUAAGAAAGGCAAAGAAGGCACUGUUACUGUUUAAAUGCAUUUUGAGAAUACUGUAUGAAAUAACCAAAUAUAAUUGCUUUGUGACAUUAAUGUGUUGGCAAAUGUUAACAAAUCGUUUGCUAAAAUAUGUAGAAGAGUUAUUUUUAAUACAUGGUUAUAGAAAACAAUUGAGAAUACCUCUGAAAAUGAUGUACAUUUGAAAUCAUUUGAUUGGAUUAUUGCUGUGGUCUUUUUGAAGGGAGGAGAUUGUUCUGUAUACAACUGUCAUAAGAAAUUUUAAUUUAGGCUGCUCCAGGUAGAUGUAGGUCUUAUCCUGUAAAUGUUUCUUAAUGUUAAAAUUUGUAUAGUACAAGAUUGCCUUAUCAUGAUGGGAUUUUUGCACAAGAGACCGACCUCUGAACACUUGCAUGUUCAGGGUUGAAUGGGCUUUUUUUUUAAUUGCUUUGUAUAUAAUAGAAAAACUACUGUGUUACACCAUCCUAUCAAGCAUAGAGAUGACUGACAUUUUGGGCAUUUCAGUUUUCAAUUAUUAGAAUAUAAUGUUGGUCACUGAGGAGUUUCUGGACCUCUUCGUAUUAGGCAAAUAAAAGCUGAAUUUAGAAGAUAGAGAAUAGGGAGUUUUGGAGGGUUGUGUGUGUCUAUGCAUAUGCAGAGACAGUUUUUGAACAUCCUCCAGGCUUUACUCCACGCUCAGAUGUUUGGAAUCUACAUAUGUUUUACACAUAUUCUAGUGUUAAACAGAGGUAGACAUUCUUUUCUUUUUCCAGUGGAACUGUUAAGUUACCUCUCAAUAUUAACUCAUUUCUGGUGGAAAUUUUUAUACAUUCUACUUUCUGUUUAACCUCUAAUUUUCUGCAUGUAUAAACAUCCUUGUAAGUACAUGCCAACCUAGUAGGAUAGUGAUAUUUUUGUUUGCCAAAGAUGUUCCAUCUGGCCUUUCAGCGUGUUAAUUGGAUCAUUAGCCUCAAUUUUUAGGUUUUGAGAAAUGUAUUGUGUAGUAUCUAAGAUAAAUAUAUCGUCAUUUUGUGACAGAAUUCAUCAUGGUGGAAACACCACUGGGCUGCCUUUGUUUAUGGUUUUCACAUGAAUUUAUGCAAAUAGAAUGCAGCUCUUUGGGUAACUUAGAGAAAUCUCUACACGCGGUAAAAUAGCAUAUGUGAGAAAAGUUUUCAUUUGCCAGUGGAAUUUAGCUUUUAAUGAAACUGAUGAAUUGUUUUAAAAUACUUUUUUCUAGUUGACAUAGGCAAUUAAUACAUUUUUAUGGGGGGGUGUUAGCAGUGGUAUAUCAGCCCCGAGUUCUUUAAAUAGUGGCUGAUCAAAGAAAUGUUUUUGUAUUAUGUGUAUAUAAUAGAUACUAUUUUUUAAAGCAUAGGAACUAUUUGUGUGUCUUUUGUACAAACCUAUACAUAGAGUGAAAAAUUUCCCUAAUGAUUGUCAGAUUAUCUGUGAGUAAACAAUUGGGCAGCUGAAGGGGUGUUUUGUUAGAUCAUUGUGUAUAAUAACAUAGAAUACAUAAUAGUUUUUGCUUUAGUCUUUUAGUCUUUGGUUUAUAUGGAUUUCUUAUGUAUGUGUAUACAUACAUGCACAUGUGUGUAUAAAACUAGUGUUCAUUAAAAGUCAGAGUAGGUAUAUUUUUUGGCUCAGUUAUCACUUGGCUUUAGUCUGUGUUCUUUGGGUUGUGUGAGGGCAGAUGAUAUAUAGGAAGUUUUGGUUUAUAAACUUAGGUUGAUGGAGGAUACUGUGAGGCUGCUAGAUAUGUGGUAGACAAAUACUAGUUUUUAUAUGAUUUGCUGAUUAGGCAAUAUAUUUUGUGAGUACCAAACUGAGACAAUGAUGAAAACACUGUUUUGGUAAAUUGAGUUUCUAAAACACGGCUAUUUGGGAUGUGGUUGGUUGCUGGGGAUUAUACCACUACUUUGUUUUCUAUGUGGAAGAUAAAUGUUACUAAUAGAGUCUUUUUGGGUAUGUGAUUUCUGUCAGUAAUGUUGGAAAUAUCUUUUCAUUGAAAUGUUAAAGUUAACAGUUGUUUGAUCAGAUACAGCAGAGUCAGCUUGUUCAUGAAUUAGGCUUGAUUUUUGAGGCCUUUUAUCCAUUUUUAUGUUCUUGAGGUUUUUAAUUAGACAUUCUUUGUUAAAGUGUAGAAAUCACUGCCAUUCAUAUUUUUAAAUAGUAAACUUGUAUGAUUUUUCUUAUUCUAGUCUAAUUUUGAGUUUUAAAAUGUCAGGACAGAGCAAGGACACAUUUGACUGUCUGUAUAGCAGAUAAGCUCUUUUAUAACAACUUCUUAGGUAUUUAUGACUAAACACCUUUGCCAUGCAUGCAUGCUCACACACACACACACACACACACACACACACACACCAGAAUUAAUAAUACUUAUAUUAUUAACAAAUAGAAGUGUUACAUGACCUCCAUGUGUUUUCACCUAGUGUGUAUGGAGUGGUAAUAUUUAGUUGUGCAUGUGAUCAGAUUUUUGUUUUUAUACUAUAUAACUGUAGAUGUACAGAAAUUUCUGUCAUAGUUUUGAACAUAAGUUUACUUAAGAUUAAUAGCAUGUAAACUUUUUUACGCUUGUAGAAAUGAAAUGGUACACUAAGACUCACUAUUGUUGAGGGUGAUUUUAGACUGCUGUGCAUACAGUUACAUUAUAAACACAUUAUUUCUCAGUAUAGACAUUUCUGAUAUACAUAGAAUUUUACUUCUAUUUUGGGGACAUGGGUAUAACUUAUUUUUCCACAUGUGCUGAGGUUCAUGAUGCAAUUCAUUUUUCUAAACAUUUUAUGAUAUCUCUACACAUUUCUGUGUUCACUUGUUACAUGGCAAUAACCAAGAAACUUCUGCAAAUAAUGAGUAAGAGAAAUACUUAGUUUUAAACAUCUAGUAUUUCUAGAUAUAUUGAGAGUCUCAAAAAGUAUAAUUUUGUAAAUAUUUUAUUGUAAAUGUGUUAGUACCAUUGUCUUUUAAAAUUAACAUGGCAAUGAAAUUCAUUGAUAGGCUCUUGGAGCUAUGAAAAUUUAUCAUAUAUUGGUUUGGUUUUUAAGAGGAAACAUUUACAAGAUUAUACAUUUACUUUGUUAACAUAUAGAAGACUUUGCCAUUAUAUUAAGUGUAUAUAUCUAAAAAGCUUACACCAUGUAAUUCAUUUGGUGUUUCUGGGUGUACCAAGAGUCCCGAUAUGUUUCUUUUAUAUUGUUAUUUUAAUUAAGACUUUUUUUGAGAGCAGUUUCAGGUUCACAGCAAAGUUGAGGGGAAGGUACAGAGAUUUCCCAUAUAUCCCCCGCCCCAACACAUACAUGAUCCACCCCUAUUAUCAGCAUCCCUCAUCAGAGUGUACAUUUGUUACAAUUGAUGACCUGUGUUGACUUACCACAUCAUAAGUCACCCAGUGUCCAUAGUUGACACUAUGGUUAAAUGUUGUAACUGUUGGUUAUUCAUCCCUCCUCUUAUAUUUCUUUCUUUUUUUUAAACAUUCAAGUUAAAUGAUUUUGUUAAAGAGAUUUACACUACCUCUUGGAACUACACACAGUUCUGUAUGUGUUCCCUUCGUUGCAUGACAAUAUUCAAGACAACUUUGUAAAUAGGCAGAGACAAGCUUUUAAAAUAACAUCUAGUCUUUCUAGAUGCAUAGAGUCUCACAAAGUAUAAUUUUGUAAAUAACUCAUUGUAAAAUUUCAUGGUUUCUUUGUUUUCUUAAAAUGUUAGCAAUGAAAUUCAUAUAGAUGUAGAUUCCUUGAGUUAAACAUAAUUGGGAUCCUGAUUAUUGAGUUGCUACUGGAAAGCAAAAGAUAAAAGGUAUUUUUUUCACUUUUGCAUUCUCCUCUAAAAUAAAAUUUUACAUUUUAAUCAUUGUUUAGUGCUUGGAUAAUUAUACAUUAAAAAAACUAGAAGUCAUAGUUUGUAGUUGUAUUGCUGAUAGGGCAUUAUAUAUUUAAAUCAUAAGAAAUGCAUUCUGUAAGACUGUAUUCUCUCUUUGAAUUACAUAUUUGUGUAUUUAGUUGGACUGCAUGGCAAUAUUCAAGACAACUUUGUAAAUAACAGUAAAUACAUCAUUUAAAGUCUAGUUUUUCUAGAUGCAUGGGAUUUCAUGAAGUAUAAAUUUGUAAAUCUCAUUGUAAAAUAUCUUAAAUGGGCUUCUAGGAAUGUUUUGGUAGUGAAAUAGGUAAUUAAUAGUUGGCUUUUUUUAGGGCUUUGUGACAUUUUGUUGUUUAUUCUCAGUGGGUUUUGGGGAUGAAGUGUACACAUUGUUGCCAUAUCUUCAGAUCAUUAGAUCUCAUGUGUAAGAAAAGAUUAGAUUGUAUACUUUUAACAGAGGAAAAUGCUCCCGGGAUUUAUUUUUAUCUCUAGGAAGAAGAAGGGAAAAGAUACAAGAAGGGAGUUGUCACUUUGAAUCAUAGAUAUAUUCAUAGUUAUGUAACAUGGCUAAAGUAAUUAUUACUCUGCUAUCUAUAUGAACCUAGUUGCAGAUGUAUGUAUUCAUUUACAUGCAUACUAUAAACAUAUACACACAUACAUAUGUGAAAUUAGUCUUAGAGGUAUAGAUAGGAUGCUCUUUCUCAUUUAUUAGCUUAUUGCUUGACCUUCUAUUUUUGAUUUUGAAAAUUAUGGAAAUAAUAUUUCGAUUGUAAGCCUAAACAUACAGAAGCCUGCUUCAUGUUCUAAGUGAAUGUUAAUUCUUAUAUAAAGUGAUUAAGCAGCUCCAUGUCUUGUGUUUUUAUGUUUCCACAUAUAUAUAUAUAUAUGAUAACAAAUUUCUGUGCUUAUGAAUACUUUUCUGAGAGAUUUUUAAAACUUUCUGGUGAAUAGUUAAUUUCUAUGAUAUAAUCAGAAACAAAUGCCAGAAUUAUAUUUCAGCUGCCUAUGGUAUAAACUACAAAAAUUUCUUAGGAUCCUAUCCAGCAUCGAUUGAAGUAUAAAUCAGUUUAUCUUUUUGAACAGCAGUGGGGUCAUGACAAUCAAAUUGUGUGUGUAAAACUUUUAAAAUGAGGUAGCUUGCUGAUGAGAUUUUAUCUGUUCCUGUUUUUAGAUUCAUAAAAAAGUAUGUUAUAGAUUGAGUUUAACAAAUAACUUGAAUGUAUGAAAUGCAUAUCAGUAAAAAGAAAGAUUGUAAUGAUAGCUUAUUCAUCAUAUGAAUAUUCAAAUGCUGAAAAAGUAUUAUGUAUGGUAUUUAAAGAUGUUUUAAGUUGAUUUUUAAAAUUAUGUCAUUUUUGAAGAAAUAUCUCAUUUUGAAUGAAUAACUCAUGUUUACAGAGGUGUGUCCACAUGCCUCUUGUUUUUCUAACUGAAAUAUUAAUGGUUACUGUUUCUGGGGGAAGAGAUGAUACUGAGAUGAUAAUAGAGUUAAGUAAUGCUUACUCACCAGUGUUAUAGUAGUGAUAAUGAUGAUUGUUUUAGCAUUCUUCUUGAAAUUUUAUACAUGUGUAAGUUAAGUACUGAAACAUACUGUUUAAAUAUUUUAUUUGUAUAUUGCUAGAUGACAAUCUAAAAUGAAUGUAUCAAUUAUUGAAUAGGAAGUUGUCUGGAAAAACAUGGCAGAGUUUUAAUAUUACUGUACAAAUGAGAGGUGAAGAGAGGGUACUGCUGCUACUUUCUGCCUUUGGAAUUUUGGAGAUUUCAAAAGCAGCAUAUAAACUACAGAGGGAAUUUAAAAGAUACCACCAAUUUGUGCCUGUCUGCAUCCCCUGCCUGUCAGCAUCUUGGGAGUGUUGGGAUGCUGUAUCCAGCUUUAUUCCCAGUGGCUGUUGUGGAUAGUUUUUGAGUGACUCUGAAGAGCAUAUGAUUGAGAGACGAGUGCAGCAGAGAGGUUGCACAUUGAAACAGUACUGGAUUGCCCAGUGAAAGAAGAAGGGCGAACAUGGGAUUUGAGGUGAACAUGGAAGACAUACUUGUAGAUAAUCUGAGGAUACCUGAGAUUAUCAGAGACAUUCUUCUUCCUAUGGAGUUCCUUAAAUUACAAGUCUCAACUGUAAACCACAGGUGUGAAGAUUCUUGAUCAAGAAGUGCUGUUUCAGGAGAAGGUUUUUGCUAGACUCAGAAAAUAGCACUGGAGAUGACAGUUCCAAGAGGAAAUACUUUUUGCCAUCUUUGUUUUUAAUCCCAGGAAUCUCAGCAGCAGGAUUCCUCAUUCCAGGUGUUCUUCACGCCCAUCUGGUCCCAGGAGAACCCCUUGGCGAUAAUGAU